GAGCCGGUAAUACCCGAAGUCAGUAGCCUAACCGCAAGGGGGCGCUGCCGAAGGUAGGAUUGGCGACUGGGGUGAAGUCGUAACAAGGUACC
This 92-nucleotide ribosomal RNA is filed under the name uncultured bacterium. RNAcentral's name for it is "partial 16S ribosomal RNA". It matches the Rfam family "Bacterial small subunit ribosomal RNA", at positions 1408 to 1500 of the family's 1533-position model. The record is from RNAcentral.